AGGAAACCAUGACUAUCUGUUGACCAACGAGCUAGUCAACUAGAGGCUUACUAGGGACGUAUUGUGGUCUAUGUAUUCACACGUGUAUUACGAUUUCCGGAUAAUACAAUUAUAGCAUGAAUAAAAGACAAUUAUCAUGAACAAGGAAAUAUAAUAAUAAUCCUUUUAUUAUUGCCUCUAGGGCAUAUUUCCAACAAAUGAUGGACUCCAAUCCACAGGGACUCUGGCUGGAACAUUUAUCCUAGCUCGCGAACACCGGAACCACACCAAACAAGCAAGCAAUCCAGGCAUGACCUGCAAACUGGCAUGACAUGCCAGGUUAGUACAUUGAAUGUACUUGCAAGCUCAAAAUAACCAAAAGCAGUCAAGACAAAUAACAACAUGGCAUUAGCAGGUUAAAUCAAUCAUGAGCAUGAGACUAGCAGAACAACAUGGCAUGCACAAUUGAACAUGAUGCAAUUUUAGCAUGACACGAUCAUAUGAACAUGAUGAUACUACAUGCAACAGGUUAACAUAAUCUUGCACCAACUUACUCUGCUCGGGUUACCUUGUAACCAAAACAUGCAUUACUUACCACCGUGGACAUGACAUGAUCAUCUCCGGAUCAAAUCAAGCUUGGUAUAACAGUACCGUAGUAAUCAUUACAUGACCACAAGGAGCUUGACCUUUACCCGUGAUUCUCACAUAACACCACAAAUAUCCAACACUCGGUAUCCACGAUACCAUGGUGAUCCUCUCACGAUCACAUAAAGAUCAACCAAGUUCUUUUAUCAUCAAACCAAGGUUGUUAUUAAACACAUCAUUAUUAUUACUGUUGACCCAUAGUGUGACCGACUUCGAACUGGGCCCAUAUCCGCGGGCGCGGCUAUCGAUAGAUUUAAACACACACUCUGCAGAAGUUAGCACACUAUACCCACACCACGGAACCCAUGGCCUUGCACUCCCAUUCGGGUGGACCAACGACAUUCUGACAAAACCGGUCUACUGCCAUGACACUCCCCCGACCACUCCGACCAACUCCCCUUUGGGCUAAGUCAUGGGUGGCCCCGUGCCUACCAAAGGCAUCAACGGCCACCGUCGUGGCAAAAUAAACAGUCCCAAACGGGUACGUGAGCUCAAAACCAAACAUGGGCACACAAGGCUUAUGCCGUCCUACCCGUCCAAGGUAGCGCCCACGCAUAACCUUCCCUCGUUGGAGGCACCGGUGAGAGGCAUGACAAUAGACCUAGUUAGGACCUUCCCAUAAAGGCAAAUGUGGUUGCACUGGUCAGCUCGAUUCAGCGGUACCAUGACUAAGCCAACAAUUGUUCAAAUUCAAUUAAGUUCGGUUAAAAUUGAAUGCAAUAAGCUGAGUCAUAUUAAAAUAACAUGAUGCAACAAUAACGCAUGAUAAGAACAUGAGCAUGGAUGUGCAACCAUAAUAAAUCAUUGAGCAUAACAACAAUGAAGCAUAUAUUCGACUGAUCAUGGCAUACUGACGAGCAUGGAUAACACAAGCAUAACUCUACCAUAAGCAUCGCAUGACCACUUGUAUCAUAAAUAAAUACCAUGCAAGAACAUAACAGCAAUACUACCAGGUGAGCAUAAACUAGCUAAAUGCAACAAAAUAUGCAUAUCAAUGGUACUCGGUAACAGACGAUAGACAUGCACCGAAGAACAUAACCGACACCAACAUGAACUACUAGCAAGCAUGAACAUAUGAAAGUAAUACUAGUAGGUAGAUCAUGAUAACCGAGUGCAAGACAACAUAGCACGGCGGUAACCACCGAUCCAUAAGCAUAACCGAAAUAACGACAACAGUAGCAAAACAAACAGACAAUAAUCAAAGAUUCAAGUUGAAAACCAAUGCUACUGCAUGGCUAUCAUGCAAAUGGUGGUUGUGGCUUGCCUGGGGUGACAGAGACUCUGGGAAAAAGUAUGGUGAUGCCGCAGAAACGAAACGUCGGACGGUUCUCUCUCGAAGGGGGUUGAUUAUAGGCAAGGGAAAAAUGGUCAUUUUCACUGUGGGAUCACCUAGUAAAAAUGUUACCAACAGAAAUAUCUCAACGAGAUGAAGACAUGAGCGUUGGUUUCACCUCGAUCGGAGCUACAGUUGAAAAGUUCUGAGGGGUUGAACACCAGGGACCAAUCUGUAAAGUUUUCCCCAUAAACAGGUCCCUGAGUGGAUAAGGCAGAAACGUAUUUAGAGAAAUACGCUUUCAGAACAAAGAAAGCGUAUUCUUGGCCGCAGUAGAGAGAAAUAUGCUUUCAUAGAAGGGAAAGCGCAUUCUUUCUGAAGCAUUACAAGAAUACGUUUUCAUAAAAAGAAAACAUACUUAGCAAAGUACGUCUCCACUUAAAACACCUGGGUCCGGGGCUGGGUCACUUACGCAUGGGGUUGGGCGGGGUCCACUGGCAGGAGGGAGGGGGCACGGGCGUCGUCGUCUUCCUCCUCCCUCUGUCCCGGUCGAGACAGAGGAGGAGCAGGGAAGGGGCGAUGCCGUCGAGGGGCCCAGCCGGCUCAGGUGGCCUCCGGCCACGAUGAGCACGCCGGCGGGUGUGGGGCGGCCUGCAACACCCAUUCAGAGGCCAAGGAGCGCGCGGGGAUCAAAGGAGGUCGUGGGGCUGGAGGAGCACCACGGUGGCAGAGGCGAACGGGGCGGCGGUUGUUCUGGCGAUGCAGGCGAUCCCCAACGAGGUGGAGUAGAUGGGGCGGGCCACCGGAGUGUGGAGGAGACACAUGUGACAACGGAAGGGAGAGAGGACCGCCGGAUGGCUCGGGACAGGGAGGAGCAGAGAGGCAGGAGGCAGCCUGGCUAGCGGGGCACGCAGCCAGAGUGGCUUCGGCGAGGGGGAGACGGGGUAGGGAGGACCGCGGGGAAGAGAGGGAGUUCGUGGAUAGGUUGGAACGGUGAGGGGAGGACUAGGCACACCGGGGAGGAGCAAACUCCGGCGAUGGUUGAGACGAGCACGACGAACUCCGGCGAGAUGUGGUCGCUCUGGUGGUCGGGGAGGCUUGGGG
Molecule: long non-coding RNA, 3001 nt
Filed under: Triticum aestivum (bread wheat)
Lineage: Eukaryota; Viridiplantae; Streptophyta; Magnoliopsida; Poales; Poaceae
Description: long non-coding RNA (TAES_LNC022891)
Source: RNAcentral